This 500-nucleotide ribosomal RNA is filed under the name uncultured bacterium. RNAcentral describes it as "partial 16S ribosomal RNA". It matches the Rfam family "Bacterial small subunit ribosomal RNA", at positions 28 to 523 of the family's 1533-position model. The record is from RNAcentral.
GACGAACGCUGGCGGCGUGCCUAAUACAUGCAAGUCGAGCGAGACUCUUCGGAGUCUAGCGGCGGACGGGUGAGUAACACGUGGGCAACCUGCCUGUAAGACUGGGAUAACACCGGGAAACCGGUGCUAAUACCGGAUAAUCCUUUUCCUCUCAUGAGGAAAAGCUGAAAGUCGGUUUCGGCUGACACUUACAGAUGGGCCCGCGGCGCAUUAGCUAGUUGGUGAGGUAACGGAUCACCAAGGCGACGAUGCGUAGCCGACCUGAGAGGGUGAUCGGCCACACUGGGACUGAGACACGGCCCAGACUCCUACGGGAGGCAGCAGCAAGGAAUCUUCCACAAUGGACGAAAGUCAAAUGGAGCAACGCCGCGUGAGCGAUGAAGGCCUUCGGGUAGUAAAACUAGAGGGUUAGGGAAGAACCAAGAAAGGAGGAACUGCCGGUACCUUGACGGUACCUAACCAGAAAGCCACGGCUAACUACGUGCCAGCCGCCGCCGUAA